GCGAAAAACCAAAACGGCAGUUGCCUUUAGGUUCCAGCGCCGCAAGGCGUGGGGGUUCGAGUCCCCCCUUUCGCACCA
RNAcentral lists this transfer RNA (78 nucleotides) under Thiobacillus denitrificans ATCC 25259. RNAcentral describes it as "tRNA-Ser (CGA) (tRNA-Ser-CGA-2-1)". The record is from RNAcentral. Lineage: Bacteria; Pseudomonadati; Pseudomonadota; Betaproteobacteria; Nitrosomonadales; Thiobacillaceae.